RNAcentral lists this ribosomal RNA (252 nucleotides) under uncultured bacterium. RNAcentral describes it as "partial 16S ribosomal RNA". It matches the Rfam family "Bacterial small subunit ribosomal RNA", at positions 525 to 776 of the family's 1533-position model. The record is from RNAcentral.
ACGGAGGGGGCUAGCGUUGUUCGGAAUUACUGGGCGUAAAGCGCUCGUAGGCGGAUUGAUAAGUCAGAGGUGAAAGCCCAGGGCUCAACCUUGGAAUUGCCUUUGAAACUGUCAGUCUUGAGUUCAGGAGAGGUGAGCGGAAUUCCGAGUGUAGAGGUGAAAUUCGUAGAUAUUCGGAGGAACACCAGAGGCGAAGGCGGCUCACUGGACUGAUACUGACGCUGAGGAGCGAAAGCGUGGGGAGCAAACAGG